RNAcentral lists this long non-coding RNA (1514 nucleotides) under Homo sapiens (human). Its description in RNAcentral is "HSALNT0019630". Lineage: Eukaryota; Metazoa; Chordata; Mammalia; Primates; Hominidae. The record is from RNAcentral.
UGCAUGGACUCAGAAAUGAUGGCUGAAUUUCCUGCCAGUUGGAAGGGUCCCCUUUAAGGUUACGGUUGUGAAUUUAAACAGAGACUGGCCUGUCUCCAGCCACAAUCAGCUGAGCAGGUGCAGGCAUGGAUUAGGCAGAGAGCUGGAGUUUUGCCAAACAAGGAAGACAAGGUGAGAGAGGGCCCAUGGAGUGAAGGGUCUAACCAAGGGAGCAAUUAUCAUGAUGAACUACGAAGGCUGAGCUGUUACAGAACAGUGAUGACACGAUGGGGCUGAGGGACCUUGAAAAGGUGGCGGAUCAACAGAUUGAGGUUCCCUGGGCUGGCAAAGGAUUGCUGGAGUCAUGGUACCAGAGGAAGUGAGCUGGUGUGAGAGGAGGUGGAGACCAGAGAGUGAAAUUCUUAAAAUGGAGACUGUGGCCACUGUGUCCUGAGUCCUCAAAUCCAAUUUACAGAAAGGCCUUUGACUAACAGUUAAUGAAUAAUAAAACCACAUGCCUGGAAGCAACUUCAAGAGGUCCUAGUUCAGAUGACUUCACAUUCUCCCACCAAUUCUGAACAUCUUGGGGAAGAAAAUGCCACCACCCAGAUGCACAUGAAAUUUGGUGCCGUGACUCGGAUCGGGGGACCUCCCUUGGGAGAUCAAUCCCCUGUCCUCCUGCUCUUUGCUCCGUGAGAAAGAUCCACCUAUGACCUCAGGUCCUCAGACCAACCAGCCCAAGAAACAUCUCAUCAAUUUCAAAUCCGGACCCCACUGGAAAUCGGACUGUUCAACUCACCUGGCAGCCACUCCCAGAGCCCCUGGAACUCUGGCCCAAGGCUCUCUGACUGACUCCUUCUCGGCUUAGUGGCUGAAGACUGACGCUGCCCGAUCGCCUCAGAAGCCCCGUAGACCAUCACGGACGCUGAGCUUCGGGUAACUCUCACAGUGGAAGGUUACCAACUGAGAGUGAACACAGCAGAUCCAGUGUUGCAGGUUUGAGAAGAGAGAAGACGAAGUCACACUGUCACUCAGGCUGGAGUGCCGUGGUACAAUCUCAGCUCACCGCAACCUCCACCUCCCAGGUUCAAGCAAUUCCCAUGCCUCAGCCUCCCACGUAGCUGGGACUACAGACACACACCACCACGCCUGGCUAGUUUUUUGUAUUUUUUAGUAGAGACGGGGUUUCACCAUGACGGUCAGGCUGGUCACAAACUCCUGACCUCAGGUUAUCUGCCCGGCUUAGCCUCCCAAAGUGCUGGGAUAACAGGCAUGAGCCACCAUGCCCAGCCACUUUUAGUUAUUUUUAAAUGUACAAUUAAAUUAUUAUUGACUACAGUACUUCCGUUGUGCUAUCAAACACUAGGUUUUAUUCACUCUUAAUAUGCUUUUUUUAUACCCAUUAUGCAUCCCUACCUCCCACCCUGGGAUCCCACUACCCUCCCUAGAAUCUGGUAACCAUCCUUCUAUUCUCUAUCUCCAUGAAUUGUAAUGUUUUGCUUUUUGGUUCCCACAAAUAAAAGAGAAUUUGCAAC